UACCUUUCUUCCAAAUUCUCACAAAGCAUGAAACCCUCGUAGGGUUUCUUCUCCUUCUUCACGCAAACAACAACAACAGCCUCCUUUUCGCACCUUCCCAAGUUAACUACGGUGCCACCUCCAUUGUUGUUAGGUCCCUCAUCAUUGUCGCACCUCUCCCGGCUGGCCAAGGUCAUCGUUGGCGACAUCGCUCACUGUCGUAGUCUCUAACCUAGGUUUUCAUGUGGGAUGCUGGCGAUGCUCAACGAGCCCCAUCUCUCGCUUAAGCUUCACGUGCACUCCAACCUCAACAAAUUGGUCGACACCUUCUGGCCGAGAUCUCCACUAGUCGGCCUAAGAUAGUGGAGACAAUUUGUGUGCAGUUGUGAUUUGCUUCCAGCACCAACCUCCUCGCAACUUGGUGGCCCCUUGGUCUAGAGUGCACUGGAGCUUCUCUGCUUAAGGUUUGAAGGAGUUGCAGAGUUUCCUUGAGAACUUGGGUGGUGUUAUGAUUAUGUCAUUGGCAUAAUUUAUAUUAAGUUUGUAUUGGCAGAGAGGAAAAGAGAAAAGAGAUUGAAUCAUUUUGUUGGUUUGGUUUGAGAGUUAACGUGGAGUGUAAUUUGGCAAAGAGGAAAAGAAAAAAGAGAUUGGGUCAAAAUUGGGUGAUUACUAGUAUAAAAGAUCUUGUGGAACUGUGUAUAUCAUGCUUUGUAGUAUGGAUUGAUUGCCAUCAAACUUGAAAAAGGUCUUCCACCCAAUAAUUAUAUGUGCAACAUUUGCAGAGCUAUCAGCAAUUGCUUUGGAGUUCCUUUCUAAGUCAGGACUUGAUUUUGUUUUAGGUGUAAAUUAUAGUUUAAGUUAAUAUUCAACUCUAUAUUAUACAAGGACCUGUUUGUUUUAGAUUUAAAUUAUUGUAAAAGUUAAAUUUGAGUGUUAUGAGAUAUUAAUAUUAAGUAGUUGUAUUUAUUUCUUUGAACUCUCUUUAUAGAGUAUUCAAAUAAAAUUUUCAUGUUUUAA
Molecule: long non-coding RNA, 996 nt
Organism: Vigna angularis (adzuki bean)
Lineage: Eukaryota; Viridiplantae; Streptophyta; Magnoliopsida; Fabales; Fabaceae
Exons: 6
Source: RefSeq, a predicted model, not a curated record